This is a long non-coding RNA of Macrobrachium nipponense, 1163 nucleotides long. RefSeq lists it as uncharacterized. The transcript has 6 exons. NCBI's taxonomy places the organism in Eukaryota, Metazoa, Arthropoda, Malacostraca, Decapoda, Palaemonidae. The record is from RefSeq and is a predicted model, not a curated record.
AGGAAAUAUUCCGCGGAAAGGUUAAUUUCAGCCAUGUCUCCGUGUCUUCCAAAGACUAACAGUGUUUUCACUCGAGAAAUGCCAGCAAUUGAAGACCAUUUCCCUUUAGCUACCUAUUUGCCACCCUUGGUCAAAUGGGUGUAAUUUGAAGUGUAGGUGCAUACAUAGUAUACCCCCCAAAAAAAAGAAAAUAAAAGACUGCAGCAUGAAACGUGCAAAGGGAAACCAAAAUUUGCUUUUGACUUAAGAGUAGAAGAAAUGUAACCACAGGGUUUUGGAAGAGUGAACUGAAGCAAACUUAAAUUAAGCAUGUAUACUGGGACUUGCCUGGCAUGAAGACAAAAUAGAAGUUUUCAAGUUCAAGGAGUAUUUCUUAGUAAACACAUUCUUGCUGCAAAACAGAUUGGAGUGCUGUUAGUGUGUUAUUUAUACAGAAGUGAAGACUGAUGAAGAGGGACAUGGGAGAGGUCAUGCAAAAUAUGUAAGAGAGAAGUUUCAAGAUGAGUAUUAAAAGAUUAAACACUGUUGGAUACUUGAAGGCGAUAAUGCAACCAUUAGUUUGAUGUUGGUUAGUACACAUUAGGGAGCCAUUACAGACUGUCUGCUGUGUGCCAAGUGGAAAGAGGGAUCAUUGGCUUCUCGAACAGGACUUACUAUUUACCUUGAUUUUCAAGUGUAAGGAUGGUUAAGUUUCAGAUUAAACUUUUCCCGGUGCUUGAAGGAAAUACUAAUACAGUAUAACCACAUGGUCAGUGAUACUUGGUACACAUUGAGGAGGAAAAAUGUCUUCUGUGCAUAUCAAGUGGAAAGUGGCUUCACAAACAGGAAUUAUUAUGCACCUUGAUUUUCAAGCAUUGGGAGGAUUCCUAAUUUUGAAAAUAGUUCUUUAGAAGUGUUUAUGCCAGACCCUGAUCAUAGCUGCAGCCCAGUGGGAGAAGUCCUGCUUCAACUUGAAAAGUAUUUCAACAGAAGUCAUAUUGCAAAGGAUGAAAAAGCAAAGGAUGAAAAACAAAAUUGGCAAAUUGACCCCUUCCAGGCAUUCAUUGAAUUAACACUUUUUGAAGACCGCAGCCCCUUUAAAAAACUUUACCUUCCCUCGAUAUUCUAUUAAAAUCACCCUAUUAAGAAUCCUUUUAAAUAUUGCCCUUAAAAUAAAGCAGUAA